This 507-nucleotide ribosomal RNA is filed under the name uncultured bacterium. RNAcentral's name for it is "bacterial SSU rRNA". It matches the Rfam family "Bacterial small subunit ribosomal RNA", at positions 28 to 520 of the family's 1533-position model. The record is from RNAcentral.
GACGAACGCUGGCGGUGUGCUUAACACAUGCAAGUGGUGCGACGAACCAGAGCUUGCUCUGGGGCAAAGCCGCGAACGGGUGAGUAACACGUGGGUAAUCUACCCCGAUGACCGGGACAACCCGAGGAAACUCGGGCUAAUACCGGAUGUGGUACGGAGACAUAAGUCUCUUUACUAAAGGUAGCUUCGGCUUCCGCAUUGGGAGGGGCCCGCGGCCCAUUAGCUAGUUGGUGGGGUCAAGGCCUACCAAGGCAACGAUGGGUAGCUGGUCUGAGAGGACGAUCAGCCACACUGGGACUGAGACACGGCCCAGACUCCUACGGGAGGCAGCAGUGGGGAAUCUUGCGCAAUGCGCGAAAGCGUGACGCAGCAACACCGCGUGAGGGAAGACGGCCUUAGGGUUGUAAACCUCUUUCAGAUGGGACGAAGGUGAUGCGGUGAAUAGCCGAUGUCAUUGACGGUACCGUCAGAAGAAGCUCCGGCUAACUACGUAGCCAGCAGCCGCGG